AGCAUGACGCAAUUAGUGCAAGUAUAUAUGGAUGUAUGUGUCAUUUUCAUCUGUCCCACGCUAAUGAUAAAAAAUCUCCAGGAAGUAUUUUUUAUAGAGGGAUCAAGUAAUACAACACGAUAGCAAUUCUUACAAACCAGUUUCCACAAAUUUUAAACUCAGAAAACAAAAGGGUGCAAUGUAACCGCAUUAUUUUUCCGAUUCCGAUGUGCCAUUUGAUCCAUAACGAACACAGGUCACCCAAGAUGGUAAAACUCUAAUCGCUGCAGGCGACAGGUACAGACAGGAGCCGCAGCGCCAAUCAGUAGUCGUCGCCUCUGGAUAUGACUUCUUUACAGGUUGGCCGGAGCAAAAUGGUGUGCUCAAACUGGGACACAUAGCUUCCCCUCACAUCGCACAAUGGCG
RNAcentral lists this long non-coding RNA (405 nucleotides) under Triticum aestivum (bread wheat). Its description in RNAcentral is "long non-coding RNA (TAES_LNC017894)". The record is from RNAcentral. Lineage: Eukaryota; Viridiplantae; Streptophyta; Magnoliopsida; Poales; Poaceae.